GGGCCCGCACAAGCGGCGGAGCAUGCGGCUUAAUUCGAUGAUACCCGUAGAACCUUACCUGGACUUGACAUAUAGGGAAAAGCUAAAGAAAUUUAGUGUGCGUAAGCGCCCUAUACAGGUGGUGCAUGGCUGUCGUCAGCUCGUGUCGUGAGAUGUUGGGUUAAGUCCCGCAACGAGCGCAACCCCCUGUCCUAUGUUGCCAGCAAGUAAUGUUGGGGACUCAUAGGAGACUGCCGUGAUAAACCGGAGGAAGGUGGGACGACGUCAAGUCAUCAUGCCCCUUAUGUCCAGGGGCUGCACGCAUGCUACAAUGGCAAGUACAACGAGUCGCAAUACCGCGAGGUGGGAGCA
Molecule: ribosomal RNA, 351 nt
Filed under: uncultured bacterium
Lineage: Bacteria
Description: bacterial SSU rRNA
Rfam family: Bacterial small subunit ribosomal RNA
Source: RNAcentral